ACGGCAGCGCGGGGGCAACCCUGGCGGCGAGUGGCGAACGGGUGAGUAAUACAUCUGCAACGUGUCCUGGAGUGGGGGAUAGCCCGGCGAAAGCCGGAUUAAUACCGCAUACGCUCUGUGGAGGAAAGCGGGGGAUCUUCGGACCUCGCGCUCAAGGGGCGGCCGAUGGCAGAUUAGCUAGUUGGUGGGGUAAAGGCCUACCAAGGCGACGAUCUGUAGCUGGUCUGAGAGGACGACCAGCCACACUGGGACUGAGACACGGCCCAGACUCCUACGGGAGGCAGCAGUGGGGAAUUUUGGACAAUGGGGGCAACCCUGAUCCAGCAAUGCCGCGUGUGUGAAGAAGGCCUUCGGGUUGUAAAGCACUUUUGUCCGGAAAGAAAACCGCUUCUCUAAUACAGGGGCGGGAUGACGGUACCGGAAGAAUAAGCACCGGCUAACUACGUGCCAGCAGCCGCGGUAAUACGUAGGGUGCAAGCGUUAAUCGGAAUUACUGGGCGUAAAGCGUGCGCAGGCGGUUCGCUAANACCGAUGUGAAAUCCCCGGGCUUAACCUGGGAACUGCAUUGGUGACUGGCGGGCUAGAGUAUGGCAGAGGGGGGUAGAAUUCCACGUGUAGCAGUGAAAUGCGUANAGAUGUGGAGGAAUACCGAUGGCGAAGGCAGCCCCCUGGGCCAAUACUGACGCUCAUGCACGAAAGCGUGGGGAGCAAACAGGAUUAGAUACCCUGGUAGUCCACGCCCUAAACGAUGUCAACUAGUUGUCGGGUCUUCAUUGACUUGGUAACGAAGCUAACGCGUGAAGUUGACCGCCUGGGGAGUACGGUCGCAAGAUUAAAACUCAAAGGAAUUGA
This 852-nucleotide ribosomal RNA is filed under the name uncultured bacterium. RNAcentral's name for it is "bacterial SSU rRNA". It matches the Rfam family "Bacterial small subunit ribosomal RNA", at positions 66 to 913 of the family's 1533-position model. The record is from RNAcentral.